RNAcentral lists this ribosomal RNA (441 nucleotides) under uncultured bacterium. RNAcentral's name for it is "partial 16S ribosomal RNA". It matches the Rfam family "Bacterial small subunit ribosomal RNA", at positions 338 to 795 of the family's 1533-position model. The record is from RNAcentral.
CCUACGGGAGGCUGCAGUGGGGAAUAUUGCACAAUGGGGGAAACCCUGAUGCAGCGACGCCGCGUGCGUGAAGAAGUAUUUCGGUAUGUAAAGCUCUAUCAGCAGGGAAGAAAAUGACGGUACCUGACUCAGAAGCCCCGGCUAACUACGUGCCAGCAGCCGCGGUAAUACGUAGGGGGCAAGCGUUAUCCGGAUUUACUGGGUGUAAAGGGAGCGUAGGUGGCAUGGUAAGCCAGAAGUGAAAACCCAGGGCUCAACUCUGUGGAUUGCUUUUGGAACUAUCAAGCUAGAGUGCUGGAGGGGUAAGCGGAAUUCCUAGUGUAGCGGUGAAAUGCGUAGAUAUUAGGAGGAACACCGGUGGCGAAGGCGGCUUACUGGACAGAAACUGACACUGAGGCUCGAAAGCGUGGGGAGCAAACAGGAUUAGAUACCCGGGUAGUC